RNAcentral lists this transfer RNA (134 nucleotides) under Bdellovibrio bacteriovorus. Its description in RNAcentral is "tRNA-OTHER". It matches the Rfam family "tRNA". From Rfam's summary of the family: Transfer RNA (tRNA) molecules are approximately 80 nucleotides in length. Their secondary structure includes four short double-helical elements and three loops (D, anti-codon, and T loops). Further hydrogen bonds mediate the characteristic L-shaped molecular structure. tRNAs have two regions of fundamental functional importance: the anti-codon, which is responsible for specific mRNA codon recognition, and the 3' end, to which the tRNAs corresponding amino acid is attached (by aminoacyl-tRNA synthetases). tRNAs cope with the degeneracy of the genetic code in two manners: having more than one tRNA (with a specific anti-codon) for a particular amino acid; and 'wobble' base-pairing, i.e. permitting non-standard base-pairing at the 3rd anti-codon position. Lineage: Bacteria; Pseudomonadati; Bdellovibrionota; Bdellovibrionia; Bdellovibrionales; Pseudobdellovibrionaceae. The record is from RNAcentral.
GCCUAUGUAGCUCAGUUGGGAGAGCGCUCCAUAAACUUUAUAACACGGGCUAAGUACACGUCGCGUUGUUAACAUUCGGGUUGAUCGCUGGAUGUUGUUAGGAAAGGUCGCAGGUUCGAGUCCUGUCAUGGGCU